GUCCCUGUAGCGCAAUGAAUAGCGCGUUGGAUUUAUAAUCCAAAGAUCGUCGGUUUCAAUCCUACCUGGAAUG
Molecule: non-coding RNA, 73 nt
Organism: Trichonephila clavipes
Lineage: Eukaryota; Metazoa; Arthropoda; Arachnida; Araneae; Nephilidae
Source: the annotation of a GenBank genome assembly